Herpailurus yagouaroundi (jaguarundi) is the source of this 1997-nucleotide long non-coding RNA. RefSeq lists it as uncharacterized. The transcript has 3 exons. The record is from RefSeq and is a predicted model, not a curated record. Lineage: Eukaryota; Metazoa; Chordata; Mammalia; Carnivora; Felidae.
ACUUGCUAUUUCAGGAUCCUAAUCACAGUUUGCUCUGUCAAAGAAAAUCCCCAAGGCUUUUGUUUUUAAACCUGGGAUAACUAUAACAACAUACCUAUUGUCCGAAAGAUUGUUUCGACUACAGAAAUUGACAUUUGUCCUUGUUAAACUUUAGUUCAAUGACUUAGGCCUGGCAUGCUAGACACUCAUGAGCCAUUACCUAUUCAUUCUGUUCAAUCUACCACCCACUUUUGGUUUAUCUCAAAAAAAAAAAAAAUGCUAAGUGUGCCCUACCUCCUUAAAAAGUCUUAGAGAGGUAAGUAAACAGGAUGGUGGGUCAGUAUUCAAAUGUUCUUCCUCUGGCAACCGAAAUGCAUGGGUUCUCAGAGCUCUGUCUCAGGAGGUCUCCUCUCCUACUACCUGACCUCAGGGGAUGAUCUUAACUACCUACCAUCACAUAUCCUAAGCACUUCCAAAACCAGAUUGCAAAGUCAAAACCCCCUCCAGAGAUUACAUCUGUAUCUCUGUCUCCAGUAUUCCCUAUGUAUCUCAAACUCAAAAGUGAGUAAAAACCUGAGAUCAUAAUCAUUUCAAUAACAAAUACCUAUUGAAUACCUAGGAGAUGUGGGUAAAACAAAGUCUUGUGAACCUAUAUUCUGAGGGAAGACAAACUAUGAAAAUAGAAGUGGAUGUUUAACUUAAUUCUAAGUAAAUACUAGGAUGAAAACAAGCAGAACGAGCAUAUAAUUAGCUCCUGGGGGCAGAAGAAGGCCUAUUUAAGACAGAAUGAUCAGAGAAGGCCUCACUCAGACUAUUUUGAACAGAGACCAGACAGUGCCUCUAACAAAAGAGUCUUCUAUAGAUCCUGAGGGGGACUUAGGGAGCAUGUCUGAGGAACUACAGAGAGGCCAGGUUGGUGACAACAGACUAUGUGAAUAGAAGGCUGACAGAAAUGAGGUCACAAAGGAAGCUAGUAGAUAGAUCACAUAAGGCCGUGUAGGACCUGGUAAGAAACAGGAGUUUUAUUCUAUGCGUAAUGAGUAGGAGAGGUUUUAAGCAGAAGAGUACAUAAUCUGACUUUUGGUUUAAAAGUCUCAACCUUGGUGGAUAUGGAUUUAACAAGCUACCUGGGUCAGGAAAGAGGACAGAAUUCUGAGUUAAGAAGUAACUGUAGUCAUCUAGGAAAGAGAUCAGGAAUAUUUAAACUAAGGAGGAAGUGAAUCCACCAGCAACAGUGCCCGCUGGCAGGCAUUAUGGCUUAAUUCUCCCAGGAAACCCUGGCUGAGAACGUCUACGGGAUCAAGUCUAAUCUCCUCAAAAUGAAACAGAAGAUCAUUUACAUGCCAUAGACGUCUCCACCUUACUUCUUGAGACUUCUCUUCCCUUCUUCCUAUAUCAAGCUACCUACAAUUUCCUUAAUGCUGAGCCUAUUUCCAACUUCUUUCUUUGGAAUUCCCUUGGAGUCUCUGUGGUAGUAUCUACUAAUCUUUAUCAAAGUGGAAGCAUGAUCUUAUCCAUGAAACGCUUCCUCCUAUUCCCUAAUGCAGAACCGAGGUCUUCCUUCUUGAUACUCAAGAAUGUAAAGGAAAACACGAACAUGAGGAAAAGUGCUUAAAAAAAAAAGGAAAAGGCCUAAGUGAACCUUAUAGAGAUGAAAAAUACAGUAUAUGAAAGGAAACAUUGUGCUGAAUUGGAUUUGUGGCAAAUCAGACCCUUCAGAAGAACCAAUGGUCAACCGGAAGUCACAGCAAUAAAAUAUAUCCAAUUUGAAGCAGUGAGAGGAAAAAAAAGACUUAAAAAAUAAUUCAAUUCUCUCUGAGACAAUAUGAAGUAGUACAAUACAUGCACGCUGGACUCUAAUCAGGAGAGGAGAAAGAGACACAGGAAAAAAUUUUCAGCAAUAAAAACCCAAAAUGUUCCAAGCUUGAUAAAACCCUAUAACCAAAGCAGCUCCAAGACUCCAAGCAGGGUGCACAUAAACACACACACACACACACACACACACACACACACACACA